RNAcentral lists this ribosomal RNA (1354 nucleotides) under bacterium NLAE-zl-P316. Its description in RNAcentral is "16S ribosomal RNA". It matches the Rfam family "Bacterial small subunit ribosomal RNA", at positions 95 to 1461 of the family's 1533-position model. The record is from RNAcentral.
GUGGCGGACGGGUGAGUAACGCGUAAAGAACUUGCCUUACAGACUGGGACAACAUUUGGAAACGAAUGCUAAUACCGGAUAUUAUGACUGAGUCGCAUGAUUUGGUUAUGAAAGCUAUAUGCGCUGUGAGAGAGCUUUGCGUCCCAUUAGUUAGUUGGUGAGGUAACGGCUCACCAAGACGAUGAUGGGUAGCCGGCCUGAGAGGGUGAACGGCCACAAGGGGACUGAGACACGGCCCUUACUCCUACGGGAGGCAGCAGUGGGGAAUAUUGGACAAUGGACCAAAAGUCUGAUCCAGCAAUUCUGUGUGCACGAUGAAGUUUUUCGGAAUGUAAAGUGCUUUCAGUUGGGAAGAAGUCAGUGACGGUACCAACAGAAGAAGCGACGGCUAAAUACGUGCCAGCAGCCGCGGUAAUACGUAUGUCGCAAGCGUUAUCCGGAAUUAUUGGGCGUAAAGCGCGUCUAGGCGGUUUAGUAAGUCUGAUGUGAAAAUGCGGGGGCUCAACCCCGUAUUGCGUUGGAAACUGUUAAACUAGAGUACUGGAGAGGUAGGCGGAACUACAAGUGUAGAGGUGAAAUUCGUAGAUAUUUGUAGGAAUGCCGAUGGGGAAGCCAGCCUACUGGACAGAUACUGACGCUAAAGCGCGAAAGCGUGGGUAGCAAACAGGAUUAGAUACCCUGGUAGUCCACGCCGUAAACGAUGAUUACUAGGUGUUGGGGGUCGAACCUCAGCGCCCAAGCUAACGCGAUAAGUAAUCCGCCUGGGGAGUACGUACGCAAGUAUGAAACUCAAAGGAAUUGACGGGGAACCCGCACAAGCGGUGGAGCAUGUGGGUUAAUUCGACGCAACGCGAGGAACCUUACCAGCGUUUGACAUCCCAAGAAGUUAACAGAGAUGUUUUCGUGCCUCUUCGGAGGAACUUGGUGACAGGUGGUGCAUGGCUGUCGUCAGCUCGUGUCGUGAGAUGUUGGGUUAAGUCCCGCAACGAGCGCAACCCCUUUCGUAUGUUACCAUCAUUAAGUUGGGGACUCAUGCGAGACUGCCUGCGAUGAGCAGGAGGAAGGUGGGGAUGACGUCAAGUCAUCAUGCCCCUUAUACGCUGGGCUACACACGUGCUACAAUGGGUAGUACAGAGAGCUGCAAACCUGCGAGGGUAAGCUAAUCUCAUAAAACUAUUCUUAGUUCGGAUUGUACUCUGCAACUCGAGUACAUGAAGUUGGAAUCGCUAGUAAUCGCAAAUCAGCUAUGUUGCGGUGAAUACGUUCUCGGGUCUUGUACACACCGCCCGUCACACCACGAGAGUUGGUUGCACCUGAAGUAACAGGCCUAACCGUAAGGAGGGAUGUUCCGAGG